CAUAUCAAUAAGCGGAGGAAAAGAAACUAACAAGGAUUCCCCUAGUAACUGCGAGUGAAGCGGGAAAAGCUCAAAUUUAAAAUCUGUCAGCCUUUGGCUGUCCGAGUUGUAAUCUAGAGAAGUGUUAUCCGCGCUGGACCGUGUACAAGUCUCCUGGAAUGGAGCGUCAUAGAGGGUGAGAAUCCCGUCUUUGACACGGACUGCCAGGGCUUUGUGAUGCGCUCUCAAAGAGUCGAGUUGUUUGGGAAUGCAGCUCAAAAUGGGUGGUAAAUUCCAUCUAAAGCUAAAUAUUGGCGAGAGACCGAUAGCGAACAAGUACCGUGAGGGAAAGAUGAAAAGAACUUUGGAAAGAGAGUUAAACAGUACGUGAAAUUGCUGAAAGGGAAACGCUUGAAGUCAGUCGCGUUGUCCAGGGAUCAACCUUGCUUUUGCUUGGUGUACUUUCUGGUUAACGGGUCAGCAUCAAUUUUGACUGUUGGAAAAAGAUCAGGGGAAUGUGGCAUCUUCGGAUGUGUUAUAGCCCUUGGUUGCAUACAAUGGUUGGGAUUGAGGAACUCAGCACGCCGCAAGGCCGGGUUUUAACCACGUACGUGCUUAGGAUGCUGGCAUAAUGGCUUUAAUCGACCCGUCUUGAAACACGGACCAAGGAGUCUAACAUGCCUGCGAGUGUUUGGGUGGAAAACCCGAGCGCGUAAUGAAAGUGAAAGUUGAGAUCCUUGUCAUGGGGAGCAUCGACGCCCGGACCAGACCUUUUGUGACGGUUCCGCGGUAGAGCAUGUAUGUUGGGACCCGAAAGAUGGUGAACUAUGCCUGAAUAGGGUGAAGCCAGAGGAAACUCUGGUGGAGGCUCGUAGCGAUUCUGACGUGCAAAUCGAUCGUCAAAUUUGGGUAUAGGGGCGAAAGACUAAUCGAACCAUCUAGUAGCUGGGUUCCUGCC
This 937-nucleotide ribosomal RNA is filed under the name Cortinarius violaceovolvatus. RNAcentral describes it as "partial large subunit ribosomal RNA". It matches the Rfam family "Eukaryotic large subunit ribosomal RNA", at positions 39 to 962 of the family's 3401-position model. Lineage: Eukaryota; Fungi; Basidiomycota; Agaricomycetes; Agaricales; Cortinariaceae. The record is from RNAcentral.